CCAAGUCACAAUUUGUAAAAGUAAACGAUUAUAGGUUAAAGUGCAACCUUCAACACGGAGCCAUAUAUAUAUUUUUUUUGAUGAAGCGAACCCCUUUAAAAACUUUGCUAAUAUUAUCCAUUAAUCUAUAAAUAAAUUAAAUUCUUGGUGUACUUGGAUAUGCUGAAUCGAACUGUGUAUUUAGAUUUUGGAUAUUGGAUCAUAAUAGGUAAAUUAAAAAUUUUUAAGUUCUUAAGACCACAUUCAUUCUGUGUCAGAAACCUAUGCUGUGUCAAAUAUUUAAUCACAAUCCAAAUUCAGAGCUGUAUCAAGCUUGAAUGUUGUGUCCAUACUUGCCCCAACUGUUCAGGGUUCGACCUCUGCGGUCAUAUCAAGCUGCACCCAGCAGAGCAUUUUAUUA
This is a long non-coding RNA of Mytilus californianus (California mussel), 400 nucleotides long. RefSeq lists it as uncharacterized. The transcript has 2 exons. NCBI's taxonomy places the organism in Eukaryota, Metazoa, Mollusca, Bivalvia, Mytilida, Mytilidae. The record is from RefSeq and is a predicted model, not a curated record.